GAUGAAGAACGCAGCGAAACGCGAUAAGUAAUGUGAAUUGCAGAAUCCAGUGAAUCAUCGAAUCUUUGAACGCACAUUGCGCCCGCCAGUAUUCUGGCGGGCAUGCCUGUUCGAGCGUCAUUUCAACCAUCAAGCCCCCGGCUUGUGUUGGGGACCUGCGGCUGCCGCAGGCCCUGAAAAGCAGUGGCGGGCUCGCUGUCACACCGAGCGUAGUAGCAUACAUCUCGCUCUGGGCGUGCUGCGGGUUCCGGCCGUUAAACCACCUUCAUAACCCAAGGUUGACCUCGGAUCAGGUAGGAAGACCCGCUGAACUUAAGCAUAUCAAUAAGCGGAGGA
This 336-nucleotide unclassified non-coding RNA is filed under the name soil metagenome. Its description in RNAcentral is "partial contains 5.8S ribosomal RNA, internal transcribed spacer 2, and large subunit ribosomal RNA". The stretch from base 1 to 120 matches the Rfam family "5.8S ribosomal RNA", at positions 35 to 154 of the family's 154-position model. The record is from RNAcentral.